This 253-nucleotide ribosomal RNA is filed under the name uncultured bacterium. Its description in RNAcentral is "partial 16S ribosomal RNA". It matches the Rfam family "Bacterial small subunit ribosomal RNA", at positions 524 to 776 of the family's 1533-position model. The record is from RNAcentral.
UACAGAGGGUGCGAGCGUUAAUCGGAAUUACUGGGCGUAAAGCGCGCGUAGACGGUUUGGUAUGUCAGAUGUGAAAUCCCCGGGCUCAACCUGGGAACUGCAUUUGAUACUGCCUGGCUAGAGUAUUGAAGAGGGAAGUGGAAUUUCCGGUGUAGCGGUGAAAUGCGUAGAUAUCGGAAGGAACACCAGUGGCGAAAGCGACUUCCUGGUCAAAUACUGACGUUCAUGUGCGAGAGCGUGGGGAGCAAACAGG